RNAcentral lists this small RNA (133 nucleotides) under uncultured Niallia sp. RNAcentral describes it as "Ribosomal protein L20 leader". It matches the Rfam family "Ribosomal protein L20 leader". Rfam says of the family: This family is a putative r-protein leader autoregulatory structure found in B. subtilis and other low-GC Gram-positive bacteria. The record is from RNAcentral. Lineage: Bacteria; Bacillati; Bacillota; Bacilli; Caryophanales; Bacillaceae.
GAAAAGAAGAAGCACCCGCUUCUCACCUGAUUGACACAGAUUCCAAGUAGUUAACAGGUAUUACGUAAAACAUUUUAGGUCUUACUAUGUUAUCGUAAGUGUGGGUGAAUUGUUCAUCCACACUUUUUUAUUU